RNAcentral lists this ribosomal RNA (453 nucleotides) under uncultured bacterium. RNAcentral describes it as "bacterial SSU rRNA". It matches the Rfam family "Bacterial small subunit ribosomal RNA", at positions 917 to 1382 of the family's 1533-position model. The record is from RNAcentral.
GACCCCGCACAAGCAGCGGAGCGUGUGGUUUAAUUCGAUGCUACACGAAGAACCUUACCUGGGAUGGACAUGGAGGUGGUAGGGAGCCGAAAGGCGACCGACUCUUCGGAGAGCCUUCACAGGUGCUGCAUGGCUGUCGUCAGCUCGUGCCGUGAGGUGUCGGGUUAAGUCCCGUAACGAGCGCAACCCCUGCCCUUAGUUACAAGUGUCUAAGGGGACUGCCGGCGACAAGCCGGAGGAAGGUGGGGAUGACGUCAAGUCAGCAUGGCCUUUAUAUCCAGGGCUACACACACGCUACAAUGGGCGGUACAACGGGCAGCGAAGCCGUGAGGCGGAGCGAAUCCUGAAAAGCCGUUCCCAGUUCGGAUUGCAGGCUGCAACCCGCCUGCAUGAAGUUGGAGUUGCUAGUAACCGCGCGUCAGCCAUAGUGCGGUGAAUACGUUCCCGGGGUUU